Molecule: ribosomal RNA, 467 nt
Filed under: uncultured bacterium
Lineage: Bacteria
Description: partial 16S ribosomal RNA
Rfam family: Bacterial small subunit ribosomal RNA
Source: RNAcentral
GACGAACGCUGGCGGCGUGCUUAACACAUGCAAGUCGAACGGAAAGGCCCUGCUUUUGUGGGGUGCUCGAGUGGCGAACGGGUGAGUAACACGUGAGUAACCUGCCCUUGACUUUGGGAUAACUUCAGGAAACUGGGGCUAAUACCGGAUAGGAGCUCCUGCUGCAUGGUGGGGGUUGGAAAGUUUCGGCGGUUGGGGAUGGACUCGCGGCUUAUCAGCUUGUUGGUGGGGUAGUGGCUUACCAAGGCUUUGACGGGUAGCCGGCCUGGGGGGGUGGCCGGGCCAAUGGGGGGGGGAUACCGGCGGGGGUGCUCCCGGGGGGGAGGGGGGGGGAUAUUGGGCAAUGGGGGGGAGGCCGGGGCAGGAACGGCGGGUGGGGGAUGGCGGGCUUCGGGGUGUGAACCGCUUUCGCCUGUGACGAAGCGUGAGUGACGGUAAUGGGUAAAGAAGCACCGGCUAACUACGUG